This 253-nucleotide ribosomal RNA is filed under the name uncultured bacterium. RNAcentral describes it as "partial 16S ribosomal RNA". It matches the Rfam family "Bacterial small subunit ribosomal RNA", at positions 524 to 776 of the family's 1533-position model. The record is from RNAcentral.
UACAGAGGGGGCAAGCGUUGUUCGGAAUUACUGGGCGUAAAGGGCUCGUAGGCGGCCAACUAAGUCAGACGUGAAAUCCCCAGGCUCAACCUGGGAACUGCGUCUGAUACUGGUUGGCUUGAAUCCGGGAGAGGGAUGCAGAAUUCCAGGUGUAGCGGUGAAAUGCGUAGAUAUCUGGAGGAAUAUCGGUGGCGAAGGCGGCAUCCUGGACCGGCAUUGACGCUGAGGAGCGAAAGCUAGGGGAGCAAACGGG